This 448-nucleotide ribosomal RNA is filed under the name uncultured bacterium. Its description in RNAcentral is "partial 16S ribosomal RNA". It matches the Rfam family "Bacterial small subunit ribosomal RNA", at positions 338 to 795 of the family's 1533-position model. The record is from RNAcentral.
CCUACGGGUGGCUGCAGUGGGGAAUAUUGGACAAUGGGCGCAAGCCUGAUCCAGCAAUACCGCGUGUGUGAAGAAGGCCUGAGGGUUGUAAAGCACUUUUAAUAGGGAGGAACACCUGUAGGCUAAUACCCUGCAGUAUGACAUUACCUAUAGAAAAAGCACCGGCUAACUCCGUGCCAGCAGCCGCGGUAAUACGGAGGGUGCAAGCGUUAAUCGGAAUUACUGGGCGUAAUACUUACGUCAGAUGUGAAAGCCCCGGGCUUAACCUGGGAACUGCAUUUGAUACUGGGUAACUCGAGUUUAGUAGAGGAGAGUGGAAUUUCAGGUGUAGCGGUGAAAUGCGUAGAGAUCUGAAGGAACACCAGUGGCGAAGGCGACUCUCUGGACUAAAACUGACGCUGAGGUACGAAAGCGUGGGUAGCAAACAGGAUUAGAUACCCCAGUAGUC